AAGUCGUAACACGGUUUCCGUAGGUGAACGGUUUUUGCAGGUUCGCCAGAAUUAAAAGUCUGCUGAGCAGGCAACAUCUCUACUGUGCUAGGAUUUACUAUUAAAGUAAUACCAGCAGCCUAGACAUAGGCUCACAGAUCAAAUGGAGAUGGCCCUAAUGGGUUGAGAGUUGAUCGGGGGGUUGCUAUAAGUAGCAGCCAUACUUCCGCUGCGGAAGGAUCAUUACCGAGAAAAUGCCCUUCAGGGUAUAUCUCCCACCCUUUGUUUAUAAUACCAUUGUUGCUUUGGCAGGCCCGUCUU
Molecule: unclassified non-coding RNA, 300 nt
Filed under: Xylonomycetes sp.
Lineage: Eukaryota; Fungi; Ascomycota; Xylonomycetes
Description: partial contains internal transcribed spacer 1
Source: RNAcentral